AGAAACCAAGCAAAUGAAUUUCACAAAUGAACAUGUGAAUCAACCAUAAAUUUGCACGUGUGGAAAUAAAAUUCAGAUGAAAUUUAAAUUGAAUUGGGAAACACACACUAGCUCAGGUCAUGCUCAGAUGAACCUCUAUGGGCCACCGUACCGGAAAUUGCCUUUGGAGGCGGUGGCUACCGGAAAUGAAAAUUAGACACCAUUCCAUUCGUCUUGACCUCCCCUCUUCGAAUCUCUACUCAAUUUCUCAAAAUUCUACGCCAAGGUUCAAAACUGAGUCACAAAUCCUUAAGAACCCUAAAUGUAAUCCCUAAAUUAAAUGCUAAUCUUGAAGAUUCAAAGCCCCUGGGAUUGGGGCUUUGAAUCCCCUCUCACUGCUCUACAUUCUAGUAACAAGAAAACAGCGAAAAGAGGAAUUUUUCAGACGUACCUUGCCGAAGAUGAUGAAAUUGGGGAUGGCAAAAGUUCCAGGUAAUGAAUCUGAAACUCUUUCUUGCUCUUGAUUUUUAUCCUCUUCUUCUUGAUUCUUCUUCUGAAAAGCGAAUUAAGUUGAAUUGAAAUUCGAGGGUGAGAUUGAGUGAUUGUUGGGAAGAGGGAAAAGUUGAAUGGAGAGUGAUAAAGAUGUUGAUUAUGAUGAUAAAGGUGUUGAUUAUGAUGAUAAAGGUUGAAUAUGUUGAGGCUUGAGAGUGAUGGACGAAUUAUAUUCAACUUUAAUGAUCGAGAGUGUUUUUGAUGUGAGAGUUCUUUGGUGUUUAUGAUGAAUGAUUGAGGGUUGUAAGAGUCAAUCUGAGAGUGAAUGAUUGGAGGUCCUGAAAAUGAAUGAUUGAGAGGGUUUUAUAGGUAGUUAUGGGAAUUGGGAUUAACAAAGUUGGUAAUGGAAGUUGGGAAAUGGCGGAAUCGAGGCAAAGGGUUGUAAUUGACUUUUUGUUCUGAUUUGUUGAUCCCCAUGUCACUCCAGUUGGCAUGGUAGUUAGUGAAACUUAUGAUUGUGAUUAGUUAGUUCAGUUUCUAUUAGGUUAGUUUGCAGGGAUUAUGUUUGGAAUGACAGUUAGUUGUGAUGCUUUGUGAUGUGAAUGACUUGGAUGUGGUUUACAUUGGUUCCCAACUUGAUCUGUUGUUGCAUAUUGCUACCAUGCUCCUAUAUGAUUUUCUACAGGUUCCUGAUGUGAAUUGCAGACUCAUAUGCUCUAUAUUCUAGGAAUUUAUUGGCUUGCUCAUGAAUAAUCCAUUGUAGGGGUGUUGCUGACUGAUGUAAGUCCAUUUUCAUUGCAUUUCUUAACAUAGUUCUGCAGGGUUUAUUGCAAGCAGGAUGCAAUGUUUGUGAGGUUUCAUGGCACUGAAUGCAGGGUUGCUAUGUUUGUAAUGGUCUAGCAUGCUUUUUUUCUGAAUUGGCUCAGUGUUGAUGUUAGCAUGACUUGGUGAAUGUAUGUGUGUUUUUUUGUUGUUGCAAGUUUACAUGGUUCUUAUAGGUGUUGGUUUACAUUGCAAGUUUUACUGCAAGUGUUCAUGUACUGCAUAACAAGUGUGUCCUUGGAUUGAUGUUGGACAUUACUUUGGCUUGGCAUAUGGCUUGAACUUGGUCUACAUCAGGGUUUAUAUUGUGGUUUUGCAAGUGUUUAUGGCUUGCUGCUUGGUGUUUUGCAAAGCUUCAUUUGGUUAGAUCUAGUUGCAACAAGUCUGGCUUUGGCUCAUGUUUCAUUACAUUGUUAACUGGUGGUAUGGAUUUGGUUAGGCUACAUUGCAGCAAGGUUUUGUAGGUGUGCAUUGUGACAUGGUAAGCCUUGAUAUAGGUCAUGAACACAUGGUGUGGAUUGUUGAACAACGGCUUGCAAUAUGAUGUCAUCAAGUUUGCACUUUGAAGUAUCAAUGACAAAUGGCAACAAUUAAGUAGGAAAUUUGAAGAUUAGAAAUGGGAUUUAGGAUUUGGGGAUGUAAAAUAGUUGAGUUGACUUUGGUCAAAGUUGACCAAAAAUUCAACGAUUGACCAAAGUCAACAUUUGGUCAAUGUGUCAUUUUUGUAGAUUUUUUCAUUUAUCGACACUUGUAAUGAAUAUGUAAUGAAUGGAAUUUGAUAUUACAUGAAAUUGACUUUGAAUAAAUCUUGUAUGAACUUGGUAUUUGAAAUGAAUGAAUUUGAUGUUGAAUGAAUUGUAUUUGAAUUGACA
This 2165-nucleotide long non-coding RNA is filed under the name Lathyrus oleraceus (garden pea). RNAcentral's name for it is "Pisum sativum (pea) long non-coding RNA (PSAT_LNC010579)". The record is from RNAcentral. Lineage: Eukaryota; Viridiplantae; Streptophyta; Magnoliopsida; Fabales; Fabaceae.